GGAGUUUGAUGCACAACUUCAAGGCAAUCUCAAAGAAAGAAACAAGUUCUUGGCAAGAGAGGCAUCCUCCUUGAAGUAUUUGGCUGAGGAGUUUUCAAUCCCAGUUAUCUUGACGAAUCAGAUUACAACCCAUCUGAGUGGAGCCCUGGCUUCUCAGGCAGACCUGGUGUCUCCAGCUGAUGAUUUGUCCCUGUCUGAAGGCACUUCUGGAUCCAGCUGUGUGAUAGCCGCACUAGGAAAUACCUGGAGUCACAGUGUGAAUACCCGGCUGAUCCUCCAGUACCUUGAUUCAGAGAGAAGACAGAUUCUUAUUGCCAAGUCCCCUCUGGCUCCCUUCACCUCAUUUGUCUACACCAUCAAGGAGGAAGGCCUGGUUCUUCAAGGGCAGUAAACAAGAGCUCUGAAAGGGGAAGGAAGCCAGGAGAAAGCCAGCUCCAUUAGUCACGCAGCAGCAUAUCCUGUCACAAAGGACCCCAGUUGAGUAAUCGCCCAAAAUAUGCCUGUUAUUUUUUUCUGUCAGAAAAAAAAUGGGGCCUGCCAAAAUGUACUGUAAAAAAAAAAAAAAUCUGGUGUCUUAGGCCCAGAGAGGGAAAAGAAAAUAAAGAAGAAACAGUCAUA
RNAcentral lists this small RNA (618 nucleotides) under Pan troglodytes (chimpanzee). RNAcentral's name for it is "processed transcript". Lineage: Eukaryota; Metazoa; Chordata; Mammalia; Primates; Hominidae. The record is from RNAcentral.